GGUAUGAGUUCUUCCUUUUUCAUUUUUCUGCAACAGAGUUAAUCUCUGAAUUCUUUUUUUCAUAUCUACCAUUUUCUGUAAUCUUGAUUUAAUACUCUUUUCAUCAGUCUAUUAGCUUGUACCACCGAAUCAUAUAAACAAGAGUAACCGUUGAAGAGAGUGUUUGGUAAUCGUUUUUUGGGAAGAGAAAUUGUUGAGGGUGAUUGGAAGGAUUUGGACAGGGAGAAAUUAUGGAGUGUAAAAAAGAUUUAGUUAUCGCUUCACAGAGGCAUUGCUUUUGAAACAUCCAGAUCUGAUCUAUCUGGAUGAUGAUUAUCCAGAUAAUUUCCCGGAGAUCAAAGUGGUGGUUAGAAGAGAUUAUGCGAGUGAGAGGGAUAAUGUGGCUCUGGUUACUUCUGGUGGUAGCAAAGAACAUCUGCUGGUAAAUGAGGGAAUUCUAACCGCUGCUGCAUAUGGGGAUUCUUUUUCGUGUCCUUCUCCUGAAAGUGUUCUAGCAGCUAUCCGUGCAGUUACUGGCGGUAAAGGUUGCUCAUGCAUUGUAAAGAAUAAUCAUUUAGAGACUUUUAGGAUAGCUGCUGAACAAUCAAUUGAGGAAGGGUUUCUGGUUGACACACUAUCUGUGAAGGAGGUUGCUGAGGCAAUUACUUCUGCUGCGCCAGCAGCAGCUAGUGGUUCGAUUCUACAGAUUGUGAAGGAUGCAGCGACAAAGCCUGCACAUGCUGUCAGCAAAGCAGAAGCGAAGGAAAUAUGGGCGGGUUCUAUAGAUAAGAAGUGUUUUUAUUGUGGUGAGCAGUCGAGGAAACUUAACAAUAUCCAUGUUUACAAUAAUCAUAUGAAAACUGAUCAUAGGAAUAUGAUUUAACACAGAUUUGGAAGUUGUAAAUCCCAGUACUUUGAUACAGCGUGUAAUCCUAUUGACUACGAGGCUAUAGCACUAAUAGUAGCUGAAUAUGUGGAAUUGGUCUAUUAGUAAAAGUUUAAUUUUUUCUAUCUGAA
This is a long non-coding RNA of Papaver somniferum (opium poppy), 996 nucleotides long. RefSeq lists it as uncharacterized. The record is from RefSeq and is a predicted model, not a curated record. NCBI's taxonomy places the organism in Eukaryota, Viridiplantae, Streptophyta, Magnoliopsida, Ranunculales, Papaveraceae. The transcript has 4 exons.